CUUCUGUUGCUUUGUCCACUGAGUAUGAAAAUCUCUUUCCAAAGGGGCUGAGAAAAUUAUCACUCAAACGGAAACUCUGGUUAACCCAACAGUCUUUGAACGUAUCAUGUAGGACUGUAAGUUUGUUGGGCCUUCAAUGAGGGAGUGACUCACACGGACACAUUAACGCUUUUGAGCACAGAGUCAGCAGCUCGAGCAUGAGGAGGAAACUGACUCUGUACACACACACAUAGCUCAUGUUGGAAUGUGUUCAGAACCACAUGCUUGUGACUGAUCCUGAUGUUUUGUCUACGCAGUGACACAGAGUAUGUUUCGCUUCAACACUGAGGAUGAAAAAGUUCCUGAUUUUGACUGUUUGAACAAAUUCGGCCUGCACGUCCAGUGUCCUGAAUCUCCAUGUCUGAGUGACCAAAUUCCUUAUCCAGCAGCACUUGAACAAGAUGCAAGGAUGCAAGGAAUUAAAGUGAGGACAUGUAUAUAACUCUGGAGUUAUCCUCUAUUUUAUUGAUGACAGUUUAGCUCAAUAUUUGGUGCUUUAUACUCAUGUCACACAGUUUUAUCACAAGACCUGAUAAAUGUUUCAGGGCUCUCCUAAGAAUGUUCGGGUCCUGCUUUUUCAUGGUGAUGUGCACUGCAGCAUCUAACCAGUGAGGGAUGUUUGAUUUGGGGCUGUGUCUCUCUGGAGAAAGACCUUCACAAAGGCUGCGUUCACGUAUCCUCUCCCCUGAUUUCCCUCCUCUCUCCUUUCUCCUCUCUCCUCAGGGCAAUGUUGUAAGGGAUCCAGGGCACACCGUUAAUCUAAAGUCUUAGUCCUGACCCAGAAACAGCAUGUCUGACAGUUGCAGUUUUUCUUUUUCCGAAAAGAAAAAGCAAGAUCCUGUGACCUGUGACAACAAAAAUAAAUACCUAUUACCUUCAAACCCAAGGAGCUUGAGGGUAACAAGUGCACUGUUUGCUUCCUCAGUGCCCUCUACUAAAAAUAAACAGUUUAAAUUCAUGGUAGAUAAGUCGAUCUUCAUCCAGAUUUUAGUUUAAGUCCAGAUUUCCAAACAUAAACAUGUGGUUCAGCUUGUGCAGGUGUGUUUGUAUGUUCUGCUCAGCAGAUUUCAUCCUUCACCGCUCGCUGUUCCCCGUUGCUGGAGGAGAGAGGAGGUUUUUGUUCAGACGCUUGAUGAGGAAGACCCAAACAUGACCCUCCAUUUACUGCUCCUCUGCCAAUACCCCACCAAGGACAGAGCGGCAGUGUUUGUGUGUCUGUGUGUGUGUGUGUGUGUGGGGGGGGGGGGGGGACUGUACAGUUUAUCAGUUUGUGUUCCUAAAAUCGUUGUAUGAAAAUACAAGCUUCCAUAUUUUAAAGUAGUGUUUGUUUUUGACUGCGUGUCAAUUUAUGAUUACUAUUUUUUUCUAUUGCAGAGGCACGGACAUUAUUCUACAGGUGGAAUUACAGACCAGAGAUGAGACAACUUGAAGAUCUAAUUUUGUUGUUUUUGGAAAGAAGAAUAAAAUCUGUGCAAAAAUUUGAACGUUUUCCC
This is a non-coding RNA of Xyrichtys novacula (pearly razorfish), 1532 nucleotides long. NCBI's taxonomy places the organism in Eukaryota, Metazoa, Chordata, Actinopteri, Labriformes, Labridae. The record is from the annotation of a GenBank genome assembly.